Molecule: long non-coding RNA, 799 nt
Organism: Cyanistes caeruleus (blue tit)
Lineage: Eukaryota; Metazoa; Chordata; Aves; Passeriformes; Paridae
Source: RefSeq, a predicted model, not a curated record
CUCCCAUCCUCCUUGCACAUCUGCCCCUCAUCUCAGGGCAGUGGAAUCCAGCACCCACCAUCCAGACUGGAUUCACUCUCCACCUCAGCUGUUAUUCCUUAAUAUCUCUCCACAUCAGUUUUGGGUAUGACAACAACACAUGAACGAAAGUGUAGAGCCUAGAACCCAGUAGGUAAUAGAUAGUGAAAGAUGGAUGGAGAACUAGAUAUUCAUGGGGAAUAUAUUCUUCAUGAAAGACAUCAGCUGCAGACAGGAAAGGAAAUUGCAGCAUUGCCUGAAAAGCAACGUUAGCAAGUUCUGACAGCUUGUUAAAAGCCGUGACCAAAGGCAGGGUGAUGCACAUCGAUCACCCGUGACAGGGACCUCGUGGAGCUUGGCCUGGGCUGGCCCUUGGCCAUAUCUCUGAGCAUAGUGAUGUUAUUACCACUUGUAUUUCUGCUGGCAGGAAGCUCCUGCCUACAGCUGCAAACCAAUAUAAACUCCAACUUUCUGGGUCAUCAGAAAUGUAAUGGACAAAGUGCUCUCCGCAGUUACCUCAUCCAUAAGAUAACUGCUAAAGCACGAACACUGUGGCAAAACUUGUUCACUGUCCCUUCUUUGCUGCUUCUCCCUUCUUUUUAAACACUUCAUUUCACAAACAUUUCAUUGCAUAAACAUGGAGCAGAGCAAGGCUUAAUGGGAACGGGUUUGAAUUAGUAAACAGCAGAGGAGAAAAUAUCCAAAAGAACUGGGAAUCUAGAAUGGGAUAAAAGUUCUUCUCCAAAAGGGUUGUCCAGUCCUAGAGGGAUUUAAAGGCCCU